GUGCUCGCUGUAGCAGCACAUAUACUAAAACUGGAAUGAUCCAGAGAAGAUUAGCAUGGCCCUUGGGCAAGGAUGACAUGCAAAUUUGUGAAGCCAUCCAUAUUUUU
Molecule: small nuclear RNA, 107 nt
Organism: Vicugna pacos (alpaca)
Lineage: Eukaryota; Metazoa; Chordata; Mammalia; Artiodactyla; Camelidae
Source: RefSeq, a predicted model, not a curated record